This 1228-nucleotide long non-coding RNA is filed under the name Suricata suricatta (meerkat). RNAcentral describes it as "lncRNA (ENSSSUG00005012005.1)". The record is from RNAcentral. Lineage: Eukaryota; Metazoa; Chordata; Mammalia; Carnivora; Herpestidae.
AGAGGUAGGAAUUGGGUGCCCCACUAGACAGCAAUCUCUUCCACCCAGCUGCUCAGUGAGCUGACCCACAGCGAAGGAAGGAAUCCAGCAGGAUAGUUCCAGAGAUUGGCACUAGAUGGCGCCAUCAACUCAACAUAGCAUGGUUGCUGGAGGACUCUGCCUUGAUGGAUGGGUAGUUCAGAAGGCAGGUUUAUGUGAUCAGAUCCAGUGUUUGUCAAGAGGAAGGUGGUAUUCAGUGACAAAUGUACUAUAACAUUAAAAAUCAUCAGAUCUUUAUAUUUUUAAUAUUGCAGUGGUUUUUAUCCUUUAAUCUACUUACCUAUAGUCUCUGUCCAGGACGGGGUUUAUAAACACCCUCUCCUCACUCGAACAUAACCUCCCACAACCAGCUUACAACUGUGUAAAAUCUUACCAAUCCCAUUGAUAGAAUUUCUCUUCUUUGGCUUCGUCUCCUAUUAAUUUGCUGAUGCUUCAGAAAGAAGGGAUGUACUAGGUAUGCUGUUAUUUAUACACUGUUUUCCUCAAAUCCCUUUCCGAGAAUGGUUUUGAAAGGGAACAAGGGGACUAGUUAAGCACUGGUGGCCGGAAGCCGCACACCAGAGAGAGCAGAAGGAUGGAAUGAGGACAGUGGUUGGAAGAGCCAAGCAAAUCUUGCUUAGCUUUACAACUGCAGAAAGGAUCAUCAUCCCUGACACUGAUCUUACUAAAGAGAUAAUAUGAAAAGUAAGGGUUAACUCGAAGGAUGUCUACAUUUUCCUCUUGCUGAAUGGGUAAUAAUAUCUUUAUAGUUAAUUUCUUUUUUUUUCCCACAGUUUGACUCUUCAGGGCUCAUUCAUUUGCAUAAUAUGGAACCCAUAUAGAUAUUCUACAAAUCAAUGCAAGUAAUUCUCACACGAAAUCAGCUGCUUUAAUUUAAGCUCAUCAUUGUUUGCAUAGAAAUCUUUAUGCACUCAUCUGCCUGAUUUUUUUAAUCACUUAAAACCUCCAACAGUGACACACUAAGCAUCUCCUCAUUUAGCCAUCUCCAAAAUUUGAACUAAAUACUGAAAAAUAAGCACAAUAUAUUCAUAUGCUAGAUCAUUUUCCAAAUUGAGCUUCAAAUGUAUGCUUGAUGUUCUAGUAGCUCCCAAGAAUAAUGCCUCUUGACUAAGGAAGACCAACUUGGAUGUCCAGCCAGGGCCAGAGCUGAAUCAGCAUUCUAAACAGUGACCCUGCAAACCUGAGGUAA